This 407-nucleotide long non-coding RNA is filed under the name Solanum tuberosum (potato). RNAcentral's name for it is "long non-coding RNA (STUB_LNC010512)". The record is from RNAcentral. Lineage: Eukaryota; Viridiplantae; Streptophyta; Magnoliopsida; Solanales; Solanaceae.
AGGAAGAGCAGUUGGAGAUGUUCUGGACCUAUCCAGGAAAUGGAGCAGGUUAACGAUUUUAAGAACCACCUACUUCCCCUUUCCCACAUCAAGAAGAUCAUGAAAAGGAUGUCCUCAUGAUCUCAGCUAAAAAUAAGGACAUUCAAGGCCUACAAUUCCAUAGGCAGCUAAAAAUAAGGACAUUCAGCUUGUGCCUGGAAAACUGAAAUCGGGAACAAAAAUCACAAAAUAAAAAUGGAACUGGAAAUAACUUUUCACCAUCUCCACUGCUCCCUCCCCAAAAAAUCCACGGGGGAAGGCUUCUUUAUGGAAAGAAUAAUCGCAACAUAAUUUAGUUUCUUUCCUGUCAAAGCAUAAGAUCUUUCAUCUACAAACUCAUCAAAAAGCAUUUUUCAUCUUCAAAUUAG